Molecule: unclassified non-coding RNA, 354 nt
Filed under: soil metagenome
Description: partial contains 5.8S ribosomal RNA, internal transcribed spacer 2, and large subunit ribosomal RNA
Rfam family: 5.8S ribosomal RNA (bases 1-120)
Source: RNAcentral
GAUGAAGAACGCAGCGAAAUGCGAUAAGUAGUGUGAAUUGCAGAAUUCAGUGAAUCAUCGAAUCUUUGAACGCACAUUGCGCCUCCUGGUAUUCCGGGAGGCAUGCCUGUUCGAGCGUCAUUAAAAUCACUCAAGCUUAGGUUUACCUAUUGCUUGGUCUUGGAGAUGGAAGCCAAUUCAUUGGAAUCCUCUUCGAAAUCCAAUGGCGAAGACCCUUGCUCUCCCAAGUGUAGUAAUAACUUAUGUCACUGAAGGAAGCGAGAAAUCUUCCGCCGUAACCCCCAUAUUUUCUAUGAUUGACCUCGGACCAGGUAGGGAUACCCGCUGAACUUAAGCAUAUCAAUAAGCGGAGGA